AGUGAACAUUUUUAUGUUUACAUUGUUGUUUAGAGAUGUGGCAUCUUGUGGCUUUUUAGUUGUACCAUAAUGAAUCAGCCAUUUCGGAUGCCUUGAUAUUUAGUAAUGGGUUGCAUGUCGACUCAGAGAUAACCUACAAGUGCAUAGACAGGUCCUUCUAUGCAUCAGCUUCUGGUGGAAGUUGGCUGUGCCACUGCUCUUAGCAAAGCCUUCACUGGGCAGUGUGGGUUUAGUCCCUCUAUUUUGUUGCAGGUGGACUGUUGUUUAUCAUAGCCCCCACUAAUGCUAACAUUCAGAUUAUUUCUAAUCUUUUAGAAUUUUAAACAGUUCUAUAAUUAAUUGUGUCUCAUGAUUUUUUAUUUUUUGACUGUAUCUUUAAUGUCCUUGUUAACUUUUUGGUUAGCAUGCAUGGAAAUAGGUCUUUUUGGACAUUUCCAUGGGCUGUACCAUUCUGCCUUGUUUUUAUUCACUCACCCCAUUUUCCUCCUCCUGUGGUCUCUAUCUUCCCUCUGCUUAAGUCUAGAAAGAGAAAACAUGGAAUAUCCAGGUAGCUUAUUUCACUGAGCAUAGUCAUCUUCAUUUCCAUUUGGUUAGAUUUUUUAAAUCUAAGAGGAAAUUGUGGGGAGCAGGGGAAGUAUGGUUAGGACUUUUUCUUCUAAUAGGCUGCUCUCUACCAGGGGCACACUUUGUGUCCAAUCUUCUAAGAAUCCGUGUGUUGGCAUGCCCAGGACUUUGUCCUUUGACUCGCUAUCUCCAGGGGCCAUUAAAUGUCUCCCACAUGGCCUUGGAUAUGCAUGCCAGUUGGACCUUCAUACUCUAAAGCCUUGCUUGUGUCUACAGCAUCGGGCACCCCAAAUGUGAGAGCCCCCGCUUCCCUCCUGCACUCUUUCCUGAGGCUUCCCCGUUUUAGUAGAUAGCUGUUUCAUAUACUCCUUCAUUCAGACAAAUUUUGGGGUCAGUCUCAACCUCUCUUUUAUGCCCUGUGUGUGAUUCGCUGGGAAAUCCCUUUGACAUUUAUUUGACCAUUGCUCACCACCACCACCAAGCUCGCAAGUCCAAAAUUGCACUCUUGUCUGUACUGCUGCAGAAGCUCCAGAUACGUCUCCUCUUUCUGCUCUUGUUGCCUACUUCCUCUCUACCCAACAGCACGCACCACCACGUUUCCCUGGUUUCAGUGAUACUGUUAGAAUAAAGUCCACGUGGCUGCAGUCUCCUGUGU
RNAcentral lists this long non-coding RNA (1219 nucleotides) under Rattus norvegicus (Norway rat). RNAcentral describes it as "long non-coding RNA NONRATT021574". The record is from RNAcentral. Lineage: Eukaryota; Metazoa; Chordata; Mammalia; Rodentia; Muridae.